GGCGGAUGCUUUAACAUGCAAGUCGAACGGCAGCACGGACUUCGGUCUGGUGGCGAGUGGCGAACGGGUGAGUAACAUAUCGGAACGUAUCCAAUAAUGGGGGAUAACGAGUCGAAAGAUUCGCUAAUACCGCAUACGCCCUACGGGGGAAAGCUGGGGACCUUCGGGCCUGGCGUUAAUGGAGCGGCCGAUAUCUGAUUAGCUAGUUGGUGAGGUAAAGGCUCACCAAGGCGACGAUCAGUAGCUGGUCUGAGAGGACGACCAGCCACACUGGAACUGAGACACGGUCCAGACUCCUACGGGAGGCAGCAGUGGGGAAUUUUGGACAAUGGGCGCAAGCCUGAUCCAGCCAUUCCGCGUGAGUGAAGAAGGCCUUCGGGUUGUAAAGCUCUUUCGCAAGGGAAGAAAACUUAGCCACUAACAUUGGCUGAGGUUGACGGUACCUUGAUAAGAAGCACCGGCUAACUACGUGCCAGCAGCCGCGGUAAUACGUGGGGUGCGAGCGUUAAUCGGAAUUACUGGGCGUAAAGCGUGCGCAGGCGGCUUUGUAAGUCAGAUGUGAAAUCCCCGAGCUCAACUUGGGAACUGCGUUUGAAACUACAAGGCUAGAAUAUGUCAGAGGGGGGUAGAAUUCCACGUGUAGCAGUGAAAUGCGUAGAGAUGUGGAGGAAUACCAAUGGCGAAGGCAGCCCCCUGGGAUAAUAUUGACGCCCAUGCACGAAAGCGUGGGGAGCAAACAGGAUUAGAUACCCUGGUAGUCCACGCCCUAAACGAUGUCUACUAGUUGUUGGUGGAGUAAAAUCCAUGAGUAACGCAGCUAACGCGUGAAGUAGACCGCCUGGGGAGUACGGUCGCAAGAUUAAAACUCAAAUGAAUUGACGGGGGCCCGCACAAGCGGUGGAUUAUGUGGAUUAAUUCGAUGCAACGCGAAAAACCUUACCU
This 942-nucleotide ribosomal RNA is filed under the name uncultured bacterium. RNAcentral's name for it is "bacterial SSU rRNA". It matches the Rfam family "Bacterial small subunit ribosomal RNA", at positions 38 to 976 of the family's 1533-position model. The record is from RNAcentral.